AGCGAACGCUGGCGGCAGGCCUAACACAUGCAAGUCGAACGGAUCCUUCGGGAUUAGUGGCGGACGGGUGAGUAACACGUGGGAACGUGCCCUUUGGUUCAGAACAACUCAGGGAAACUUGAGCUAAUACCGGAUGUGCCCUUCGGGGGAAAGAUUUAUCGCCAUUGGAGCGGCCCGCGUCUGAUUAGCUAGUUGGUGAGGUAACGGCCCACCAAGGCGACGAUCAGUAGCUGGUCUGGGAGGAUGAUCAGCCACACUGGGACUGAGACACGGCCCAGACUCCUACGGGAGGCAGCAGUGGGGAAUCUUGCGCAAUGGGCGAAAGCCUGACGCAGCCAUGCCGCGUGAAUGAUGAAGGUCUUAGGAUUGUAAAAUUCUUUCAGCGGGGACGAUAAUGACGGUACCCGCAGAAGAAGCUCCGGCUAACUUCGUG
Molecule: ribosomal RNA, 433 nt
Filed under: uncultured bacterium
Lineage: Bacteria
Description: partial 16S ribosomal RNA
Rfam family: Bacterial small subunit ribosomal RNA
Source: RNAcentral